AAAUUAACUAUAAUGAAAAUCAUCAUUAUCAUUGUUACUCAACAUAAUGUAGUUAUUACCUUUGUUUGCAGUUAAUUUAAGAAACACUGUUUCAAGUUUAUCCACAGAGUAUCCAAUUGAAGACGACCAGAGAAGGAUGUUGAAAUGAACUUUCUUAACACACUGGGAAGUUGGGGAACCUCUCCUUCCAGCCGCGAGGUCCUGCCCUGCAGCAGCCGACCUGGAAAACCAGACCCCAGCCCCUGCAGCAAUGGGCUCCAGGAUUCAGUGCGUGAUUCUGUGCUUUGAAGCACAACACCGCUGCAGUGAUUUCAUCACACUUCCACUGCUGCAGGUCCCUAGUAAACCCAGCUUUCAGAAUCAAGAGAAGCUGGUGGCUAACAAGGCUUAAAA
Molecule: long non-coding RNA, 393 nt
Filed under: Bos indicus x Bos taurus (hybrid cattle)
Lineage: Eukaryota; Metazoa; Chordata; Mammalia; Artiodactyla; Bovidae
Description: lncRNA (ENSBIXG00005019745.1)
Source: RNAcentral